AAUUCCUUAGCUCAGUGGUAGAGCGCUAUUCUUACAAAGUAGAUGUCGAAGGUUCGAUUCCUUCAGGAAUUACCA
RNAcentral lists this transfer RNA (75 nucleotides) under Thomasclavelia ramosa. RNAcentral describes it as "tRNA-Val". It matches the Rfam family "tRNA". From Rfam's summary of the family: Transfer RNA (tRNA) molecules are approximately 80 nucleotides in length. Their secondary structure includes four short double-helical elements and three loops (D, anti-codon, and T loops). Further hydrogen bonds mediate the characteristic L-shaped molecular structure. tRNAs have two regions of fundamental functional importance: the anti-codon, which is responsible for specific mRNA codon recognition, and the 3' end, to which the tRNAs corresponding amino acid is attached (by aminoacyl-tRNA synthetases). tRNAs cope with the degeneracy of the genetic code in two manners: having more than one tRNA (with a specific anti-codon) for a particular amino acid; and 'wobble' base-pairing, i.e. permitting non-standard base-pairing at the 3rd anti-codon position. Lineage: Bacteria; Bacillati; Bacillota; Erysipelotrichia; Erysipelotrichales; Coprobacillaceae. The record is from RNAcentral. RNAcentral also lists the same sequence under 1 other name.